AACCUGCUUCGGCGGGCCGAGGUGGGGGUGCUUGAGCUGGUUUGUGGAGGCAGAAGAGAGGAGGCUAGGCGGAGCUUCUGUUCCAAAAUUCACCCCCCCCCAAGUGCGGUUGACAGUGUGCAGGCGGGUGGGGGUGCGGGGCGGCGGUGCACAAUCCAGCGAAGCUUCGGCGGGGGCAGAGAUGUAGUAUAAAUCGUUAAUGGAUGUCCAGGGCGCGCCGUGUCACCGGCUGCUGGCCAGAGGUACUGGGAAGGCGCGGGCAGGAGCCUGGCGAGGAUGCACCUUCCCCUGGCUUGGAAAGAUCCCACAGAGACUGUCCUCUUCUCUCCCUGCCAUCACGAUGACAUCCCCUGUCCUUUCUUCACUGGAACGUACGGAACAUACAUAUUCAUGACAGAAAAAUCUAUGUGGCUGCUUCUGAAGAUAAAAGCUACUUUUGAUUAUGUAAUGUAACA
Molecule: long non-coding RNA, 455 nt
Organism: Lemur catta (Ring-tailed lemur)
Lineage: Eukaryota; Metazoa; Chordata; Mammalia; Primates; Lemuridae
Exons: 4
Source: RefSeq, a predicted model, not a curated record